CGAGCUCUGUAAGCGGGUGUGUGGCGUCACGGAGAGCCGGAGUUGCGUCCCGCAGCGUGCCUCGCGCUCUCAGACGCUCUCACGCCUCAGUGGGGCGGCCGCAGUUUGCAGCGCCUCCUCGGCGGAUCGUUGCAAACGUCCGUUCUCGCUGCUUCCCCAGCAGAGCACGUGCCCGGCCGCUGUGCUUCCCGCCCCCGACCCCCCGCAGGGCGGCUCGCUGAGCUUCCCGCGCAGCCCCACAGCGUUCCGCAUCCAAUCGCUGCUCGUCCUUUGCGCCUUGCAGCCUUUGUUUGCAGGGUCGCAGCCCGGAGCGGCUCCGCCAUUUCACGCGUGGCGCUCCGGGACGUGGCACGAAGCAGCGCUCGAGUCCGAUCCGAACAGAGCACUGCUAUGAUUUGAGGAUUUCAUCUGUGCCUUUGCUGCUUCCACACUGGAUCAAUACUGUUUACACAGAAGCAGCAUUAUAGAUGCAGCCUGUGGACCUACACGUAGAUGAAUGUUUC
This 503-nucleotide long non-coding RNA is filed under the name Gallus gallus (chicken). RNAcentral's name for it is "long non-coding RNA NONGGAT008699". Lineage: Eukaryota; Metazoa; Chordata; Aves; Galliformes; Phasianidae. The record is from RNAcentral.